AUACUCUCAUGCGCUGCCUCUUCCAUUUUCUCUCAUCUGUCUCGCAGCCGAUCUUCCUAACCUCCCAUCUUCCCCAUGGCUACCAAAAAAAAAAAAAAAAAACUUAAUUCUCUUGCUCCAUGAAAUGCGUAAAAAUAAAACAUGAUUUCAUCCUCUUUGAAAACACUUUAAGAAAAAAACCCUUCAAAACAUUAUUUUAUCCUCUUUGAGAGCACCUAAAGAAAAGCCCUUCUCUUCCACGAGUCCAUUCGGAAAUAUGAGGUUCAAAGCCCUCUUCGUUGCGAAGGUUUUAAUACCUGCUGAAUCACCAUAUCGUUAAGUUCUCUUCUCCAACUUUGUUUUUCGUAUUUGAAAUGUUUUGGUUAAACUUCAGGUUUUAAUUGGUUUUCAAAACAUCAUGCCAACAUAAAAACCGAACCUUUGAAAGUAAUUUUUGGUUAAACUGCUGAAUUUCUUGUAUUUUCCGCGCUGUUUGGAUACUUGGGUUGUUUUGUUAAUUUUUGCAGGAAUAAGCUUUGUGACAACACAGAGUGCAUUUUGGUAAUUUUUGUGUGUAUAUUCUCUGAUUUAUUGUGUGCCUUUCCAUAUCCCGAUUGUGAUCUCUAUUUGGUGCUCUUCCUUUUCUGGAAAAAAUAAUAAUUAAAAUUAAGAUUCAUUCUAAGAAAAAACAAUUUCCUAUGCAAUGAGAAGCGGGGGCACCAAUUGAAACCUAAUUCCAAACUGUGAAUUUGUCGUAGAACUUGCGCUUUGUAACAUGUUAACCGGACCUUGUACAUGAUUUUGGACUUUUAAUAUCAGGCCCUUGCCUUGAUUCUGCUAUUAACUCGUACAGAUUUGGACUUCAAUUAGGCCUGAAAGUUGGACCGACACUGGAAUUUGAUUUUUGGACUUGAGUCUCUCUAAUUAAAAAUUAAUUUAAAGAAAUAAGAAAUCAAAAUUUAAUUGAAUUUAUUCGGAGAAUCAAUAUAUUACUAUCUUUUUUAUUUUCAAGUAAUGUUUAAGAGCAAAUGUGAACUAUUUUGGUUUUGUUAUAAGCUAUAGCUUGCGGGCUCAUUCUGAGUAUGUGAUUUUGGUUUUCAGAGACACGCUCCGUGAGCUUUAGACCUCUUGAGCUGGAUUAAUCGAGCUUCUAUACUUGACGACAUGGAUGGAAUAUUUUUUAUUUAUGAUGACAAAACAUCAAUAGAUGGGGAUUAAGUUAAUUUGGAUAUUACACAUCGCACCUCGAGAAUUACUAGAGCAUCCAAGAAAAGGGGUUAAUUUGCAGAAUUUGAUUUUGAUACUGACAACCUAAUUAUAGUAUUUUGAGCUCUGAGGGUAAUUAUGUUAUUAUUUUGCUAGGAUAAAGUAAGAAAGGCCAAGAAUUUCUUUAUUUGUAGGAAUGGCUGAUGACAGAAGGGAUGGAGAGAAUGAUAAUAUAUUUUACCGAAUUCUUCUUUAAUUAUAAAAAAGAAUUUAGAUUAAAAAUUAAAUUAUUAUUAUGUAUUAUCUAAAAUAUUAGUUCAACUAAGAAAUCAUAUAAAAUCAACAUUAUUUUAUAAAAAAUACAAAAAUGGUACAAACACAUCAACUACCGAGAUUUACAUGACAAAUUAAUUACAUAUAAAAGCUUAUAAAAUUGAACAACAAUUUAAAUACACAAAACAAAAACACGAUAUGAAUCCACAAUUUUUUUCCCUAAAUUGAAUAUUAUUAAAAUUUAUAUAAAAUGAGAUGAGUUUAGACAUAAUAUAACGUGAACAUAUAUAUCAUUUUCUAAAUUAAAUUGUUAUAAUGGCUUAUGCAAAAUAAAAUGACACAAAAUUAAUAAAAAAAAUAUUAAAAUGCAUGAAAGCUAUAUCAAAUAAAUUUUUAGCAUGUACAUAGGUUCAAAAUAUAUUUUAGUUUAUUUUAAUUACUCGCUACAUCAAUUUGCUAAGUCCUUUAUAUGUGUGUUUUCGUUUAUUUUCAAAUAUUUGAUUUUUAAGGGGUCUAUUUGAUGGUAAAAUUGACUCCCUGUGAUCAGUUAAUAUAGUAUUAAGAUCAAGUAUUACAGUAGUAUAAAAUAUAUGUUUGAAUUGAUUCAGGCGGUGAGAUAACUUUGAACGGAAUGGUGUUCAAAGUUAUUUUCAGAUACGUGUUCGGUAUAGGUUUAAAUCGUUUUACUUUAAUCUCUUAUUCUUAAUAUUGAAAAAAAAAGUAGUGAUAUGAGAGUACAAAAUAAUCAUCCAAGACAUAACAUAUGUUUAUAUAUAAGAGAAAUUAUUUGGUAUAUUGCCGCAAGCAAGAACAGGAUAUAUUGCUAGUAUACUAAAUACUCAUCCUAUAUGAUACAAAAUAAAAAUAUAAAAAUUUUAUUUAUAUUAAAAAAAAAGAAAAUAUUUGGUAUACUCUAAGUGGAGAUUUUAGACACCAAAAGGAGGAUUAAAGGUUGAAAUAUUUAAAAAAAAGAAAAAGGAGGGGGGCAGAUGCCAAUUUUUUAAAGUUACUUGUGGAAUAAAAGAAAUACAAUUAUUAUCAAAAAAUUAUUAAAAUUAGGGAUGAGUAUUUGAUCGAAUCGAAUAAAAAAAUUUUAAGUUAAUCGAGUUGACAAAUCUUAUUUUAUGAUCCUAACUCGAUUUGAAAUUUUCUUGAAUUGAAUCAAAUAUAUUUGUUUGAGUUAAACUAAAACAAUGACUUCGGGUCCUUAUAACCACUGCCACCCAGCAUAAUCAAAUUUACC
This 2701-nucleotide long non-coding RNA is filed under the name Gossypium barbadense (sea-island cotton). RNAcentral describes it as "long non-coding RNA (GBAR_LNC002310)". Lineage: Eukaryota; Viridiplantae; Streptophyta; Magnoliopsida; Malvales; Malvaceae. The record is from RNAcentral.